RNAcentral lists this long non-coding RNA (6687 nucleotides) under Medicago truncatula (barrel medic). RNAcentral describes it as "long non-coding RNA (MTRU_LNC003365)". The stretch from base 3989 to 4158 matches the Rfam family "MIR2619 microRNA precursor family". Lineage: Eukaryota; Viridiplantae; Streptophyta; Magnoliopsida; Fabales; Fabaceae. The record is from RNAcentral.
UGCACAUUACUGUUAUUAGAUUGAGUUAGAUGUUAUUCUUUGGACCAAAAGGGAAUAUAAUAACAAUGAAUAGUUUAGUAUACCAUUUAAAAUUGGUUAGAUAGAUCAUACAUGUAAACUAUAUCUUUAACUGCUUUUCUGGUGAAAUCUUGUGCUUUUAGUCAACUUUUAGCAAUCUUCUGCCGGAACUCAAUUGAUUUCCUUGGUAAUUCACACAUAAUUUUGUUUACUGCUGAACUUGUGCUUCAGUUGUCCUAAUAUUUACUGCUUAGGCUUUUUACAAUUCUGUUCUUUGUAAGCUAAGUUGAGAAUGACUUGUCUUUGUUAAUAGUUCUGUUAUGUUCAGAAUCUAAAAUUCCAUUUAUUUUAUGGUCCUAAUGCAAUCCGGAUUACGUAAUCCGGAAUGCAAAGGGGCAUUUUUGGAAAUUUUACAAGGCACACGAGAAGUCAACAGGGUGGGAAAAGUAAUACUCUUCGUAUUUAGCUUUAAGUGGAGUCCCAUAGUUCUUCCAGUGAUGUAUGGUCCUGUUAAAAAGGGUCAGGAGCCGGCCCAACACUAAAUGAGGCCUAAAGCAAACUCCAAUGUAAGACCUUUUUACUUAAGAAUUUUUUUUUAUUUAAAAUUUUUUUUCGAGCUUUUUGAGACGCAAAAUCAUUUAUUAAAUUAUCACAAUCAAUUUGCCUUAACAUGUCUUUUUCAAUUGAGAUUAAGGCUAAUCCAUUUAAUCUUUGUUGAGACAUUGUUGAUCUAAGAUAAAAUUUUAUUAAUAUUAAUUUUGAAAAACUUCUUUCUGCCGAAGCUAACUGUUACAAAAAUUGCUAACAUUAUUCCAUAAACAAUAAAAGCAUUUGGAAAAGAAUCAAGUCUAAUAAUAUAAUUAAGUAUGUCAAUUGGAGUACCAUUUUCAACCUGUAUGAUUUCUCUUAAAACUAGUUACAAAUUCGUGCUUCACAGGGUUCAAUAACGUAUUCGAUAAAAAAAUUCUUUAAAAGAAGAUAUGUUAAAACGACGGAACAUUGUGAUUCAUCAUAAAAUAUGUAUGGCCUGAUUAAGAGAGCAUAUAAUCAGUUUAUGAGAUUAGGAAUUGACAUAAUAUUUAGGAUGAAAACUAUUGGAACCAAUAAAGAAAUCAAUGAUGUGUGAAUUUACAUAUUAUCCAAAAUUAUAAAAAAGAGUUUUGUUUUAAUACCCAUAUUUACAUCAAAUGAAAUCAAGCAAAGAAGUAGCAUCAGUGAGUGAAGAUAAUCUAGUCUAGGAUUAAAGUUAAGGUGAUAUGUUGAAAGUGCGGAUCAUGAACCAAAUCUUUAUUUGGAAACGACUUGAACGUGCAUAUUUUUAGGUGGCUUCUCUAGAUAAAAAAUUAACUUAUCACCUACCUCUAACACAUGUUCUCGUCAAAAUUUGAACCAUUGUCCGCCUAAGUAUUUUUUGUAACUUGCUCUCUUUGCCGUUAUCAAGCGACACUUAUACCUUUUUUGAGCUUGUUUGUCGAUCAGUGUGAUUAUUUUCCGUGUUCCUUUUAGAAAUGUCAUUGAUAUCUCAUUUGAGAAGUGCUAGGUACAAAACAAAUUGCAGUGUUAAUUAAAAGUUAUAUAUAUGUACAUUUCUAAAACAUUUACCAAAGCAUUGUAAAGAUUUACUGUAGGAAAAUAGCAUGUUUUAUUUUUCUCAAGAGAUUAGGAAAACAGCAUUACAAUUAACAUGAUACUAAUUGGAACCAAUGAAGGAACCAACAAUGUACAGAUUAACGUUACAUAAUAGUUAGGUUUAUAAAAGAGAUUGCAAGUUUCAUAGACUAACCAAACAGGAAUUUUUGCCAAUACUUACAUCAGACAAAAUGAAAAGAACAAAUGACAUCCCAAAGUUAAGAUAGUUUACGACUAUAGUCCAAAGCGAUACAUCAAAAUAGUAGAAGUUAAAAUAGUUCAACAACAAAGAUCUACUUUGGAACAACUCGAAUUUCCAAGUUCUUCUAUGACUUUUCGGGAUCAAAGAUGAGCUUACCACCUUCUUCCAUCACUCGUUAUCUGCAGAAAUUGAACCACUGCCCACCCAAAUAAUUUUCAUAGCGUGCACUAUCGGCGGUAAUGAGAUGACAGUUAUACUGUCUCUGUGUCUGGUCAUCAAUGAGAGUGAUUGUUUUGCGCUUUCCUUUCAGAAUUGUUCUUGACACCUCGUUUGGGAAAUGCUAAACAGGAAAAUAACUGCAAUAUUAGUCUAAUGAAUAUUUACAUGGAUAAGAUGUAUGCGAAUAUAGUUACAUAUAAUUUAUAAAAUAAAGGUAGCAUAACUGAUUUUAAGCUAAAGAAAAUGUAACAUGACUUCUAAUUUAUCAUCCUAUUAUCUUCAUAUAAAGUCUAGAUAAAUGCAUGCAUGUACAUUAUAUGCACUCCGUUGACCAAUUAACAUUGUUGAAACAAAUGGAAAUUAAGCAUCACUUCCGCAUGUGCAUAUAUAGCUAGCAUCAUUUGACAUUGAUGUCUUCGAACAUUUGGUGCAACUCUCAUAAUACAAUCCAAACUGGUUAUGAUUGAAUUUAGUUGUUUUCCAAAUAGUGAUGCAAUAUGUUUCCUAACACAAAUUAUGCACAUGAAAUAAAGAAUAAUGCAAUAUGUAUUUUUAAUUUGUGCGUAAAAAAACUCAAAGCAUGUUUGUGCAUAAAAAAAGCAGACAUUGACUAAGUUUAUAAAUUCAGCAAUUGGCCUAACAUGUGACAGUUUGGAAAAAUCGUUGUACGAAGCACGUUGAGAAGAAGUCGAACUCUGACUUAAGUUCUAACUGAAUUUUGACUCUGAGCUUGAGAAGUGUUGAAGUCACGACAACAAUUCAAGAAACAUGGUCAAAAAACAAUCAAAUCGGAUUGUGAAAUAAUAAGUUACUCUAACAUUGUAUUGUGAAAUCAUAAUGCAAACUUACUAAGUCUUAAACUUCUCACAACCGGAUGAUGUAGGUUGAUGAGCAACCUCGAACCUCACCAAUUGUUACAUAUAUUUGGGUUGCCAUUGACUACAAAAUGCAAGAAAGGAACUCAAGGUAAAUAGAUAGUAAAUGAUAAAGUUACGGAGUAUUUUUUCCCAUAGUGUUACAUCAACUAUAUUCCCACUACAUAAGGAAAGACAUUUUUCGGGUCAUUAUCAAACUUAUACAAAAUUCUAUCAUCUGAUGUUGACAAAAUAGAAAAUAAUACCUUUUCUAUUUAGCAAUAUUUAGUUUUUUUGAAUAAGAAAAAGAUAUGCAUAGUUUGUUACGAUAUAAAGGUGCAAUAUAUAUAUAACAGAUAAGUAUAAUUUUUUUAAGCAUCUAUACCUUUUAUGUAUAUAUAUAUAUAUAUAUAUAUAUAUAUAUAUAACAUACGCAUAAUUUUUUUAGGCAUCUAUACCUUUUUUGAAGAAAAGACAUCUACAAUUUUACUUUAAUUAAAAUCAAAAUUUUAUAAAAAUUAUACGCAUUAGCGUAACAAAAAAACAGACACACAUAAAGUAUUACUCUAAACGUUAAUAUGUGUGUCUGUAUAUUUGUGAGGUUGUUAUAAUUAAACGAUAUUUAAAUUAAAUAUAUAAGGGAUAAAAAGAUAAUAAAAUUUCUUUGAAAAAAAUGUAAUAAAAUUAAAUGGAACCUCCUUUAAAAAAUUAAAUGGAACGGCUAAAAGAAAUUAAAUGGAAGAAAAAAACAUAUUGAAAUAUAAUAUUUGAAAAUAAAAGAAAAGGUUCCCAACGUGAAUUGAAGAGAGAUGAUUGUGAAAUAAAUUGUCGAGAAAUAGUUUUUUGAAGUAGCAUUCAACAACUUUUGGUCAAAGCUCAUUCCAUUCAAUUUUAUGCAUUAAAAAAAGUACCUUUUUUAGUAAGUACUUAAUUGAUAUUGUACUUGGCCUAACUUCUUCUUAAAAAUGUAGAGAAGUUGAAGAAAAAAAAAAAAGACUUAUUUGCACUUUGGGACCCCUAUCUUUCCAAAAGUUGGGGUUAUGGACCCCUAACUAAUUUAAAUACAAAACAGCCCCUUAUGUUUUUGAUUCUUUGGCAGUUUCGGACCCCUAAGGCAAAAAAAAAAAAAAAAUUGACACGUGGCACCUCACUUAGGGUGCCACGUCAGCGUUGACCAAGUCAACAAUGGACUGAGGGUCCAAAACUGCCAAAGAAUCAAAACAUAGGGGACUGUUUUGUAUUUAAAUUAGUUAGGGGUCCAUAACCGCAACUUUUGAAAAGAUAGGGGUCCAAAAGUGCAAUUAAGCCAAAAAAAAAGGGUCAAACGAUAUCUUAAUCUCCCACAACGGCAGUGUAGAAACAACUGAAUUUGUGAAAAAAAUUAGAAAAUAGUUAAAAAUAAAAAAAUUGGAAAAUAGUCAGAAGUUUUUAAAAAUAUGAAAAUUGGAAAAUAGUUAAUAAAAAUCGGUGAGGUAGCACUCAACCAAGCAAUACUAAAAAAAAUUAUAUGCAUUAGCGUAACAAAAAACAGACAGACGGACAUAAAAUAUUACUUUAAACGUUAAUGUGUGUGUAUAUAUUCAUGAGGUUGAAGAAAGAAAAUAAAAAUAUUUGGUAUCAUUAAAUGACAGCGUGAAUAAAAAUAUUUGUGAGGUUGUGAUGAUUAAACAAUAUUGAAAUUAAAUAUAUAAGUGAUAAAAAGAUAAUAAAAAUAUUUUGAAAAAAAGAUAAUGAAAUUAAAUGGAACUGUUAAAAAAAUAAAAUAAAAUAAAAUAAAGUUAAAUGAAAAGAAAAUAUAUUGAAAUAUAAUAUUAAAAAAUAAAAGAAAAGGUUCCCAACGUGAGUUGAAAAGAGGUGCUUGUGAAAUAUAUUGUCGAGAAGUAGUUUUUUAAAGUAGCAUUCAACAACUUUUGGCCAAAGCUCAUUCCAUUCAAUUCUAUGCAUUAAAAAAUGUUCCCUUUUUAGUAAGUACUUAAUUAAUAUUGUGUUUGACCUAACUUCUUUUUAAAAAUGUAGAGAAGUAAAAAAAAAAAUCAGGUCAAACGGUAUCUUAAUCUCCCACAAUGGCAGUGUAGAAGCAACUGAAUUUGGGAGAAAAAAUUGGAAAAUAGUUAAAAGUAUUUAAAAAUAUAAAAAUUGGAAAAUAGUUAAAAAUAAUCGGUGAGAUAACACUCAACCAAGCAACACUAAAAAAAAUUAUAUGCAUCAGCGUAAGAAAAACUCAGACAGAUGGACAUAAAAUAUUACUCUAAACAUUAAUGUGUGUGUAAAUAUUUGCGAGGUUAAAGAAAGGAAAUAAUAAUAUUUGGUAUCAUUAAAUGACAGUGUGAAUAAAAAUAUUUGUGAGGUUGUGAUGAUUAAACAAUAUUGAAAUUAAAAUAACUAAUAGUGUGUUUGACCUAACUUCUCCUUAAAAAUGUACAGAAGUUGGAAAAAAGCCGGAUCAAGCAAUACCUUACUCUCCCACAACGGCAAUUUAGAAGUAACUGAAUUUGGGUGAAAAAAUUAAAAAAUAGUUAAAAAUAAAUAAAAAUUAUAAAAGUUAUUAAAAAUAUAAAAAUUAUAAAAUAAUUAAAAAAAAUGGUGAAGGGCAAAAUGGAAAAUGCACCAUAAAAUGAUGAGGUGGCAUUAACCACACCUCAUCAAUAGGAAAUUACCAAAAUGCCCCUCCAAGGAGCAAAAUGGUAAAAUCCUAGGAACUUACUUUUAUAAUAUAGUAAGUAGAUUUUCAAUUCAAAAUAUAAGUCUAAUCCAUCAAUAUCAGAUGUUUCAUUAUAUUUUAAGGAGUGUUCAAGGUUAAGACAAGAUUCUUUUAUACUUCCAAUAUUUAAAGACUUUAAUUUCUGAAUGCUAAAUAGAAAGCCAAACAUAUCUUGAUAUAUUUUAAAUUGUUCAAAUUUACUUUGAAAAGAACCAAUUGCUUGAUCUAUAUGAUGUACAAAAAGUAGUCGAAUUUAAAUGAUUAUUCGGGAGAUUUUAAAACUUUAUUGUACUGCAAUCUCAUCAAAUUAUUUCUUUCUAUGAAUAAUACGUUUUUCACGAAACUUGGGUUCUAUAUCCAUUUCACGAAAUUUAUUUCUUUCAAAUUCAUCUUCCCUAUACUUUUCAAAAAGAGCUAGUAAGGAUAAAGAAUGUUAGUCUAAUUGAUUAAGGGACGUAUAACUUGUUGGCUAAAUUAUACCAAAGAUUCUUUAAAUUAUUUAAUUAUAAUAAGUUGAUUCUUUAAGUCUUUCAAAAAAAAAAGUUGAUCCUUUAAGUUUUUUCGUAUUAAUUACGUGCUUUAAAUUAUUUAAUUGCAACAAGUUAGUCAUUUAAGUAUUUAUUGUAACACUUAAAUCCUUUAAAUUAUUUAAUUAUAACUUUAGAUCCUGAAUAACUUAUAUUUUUAAUAUUUGAAAUCCUUAUUCUUUCAACAAAAAAAAAUUCUGAAAUCUUCAAAGUUGUCAUGGUUAAAUAACUUAAAGGCUUCAUUAGUACGAAAAUAACUUAAAGGAUCAACUUAUCAUAAUUUAUUCACGUAAAAAAACUCAGUGGUACGAAAAAAAUUUAAAGGACUAAUUUAAUACAAUUAAAUAACUUAAAGGAUCUCUAAUGCAAUUUAGUUUAACUUAUAUUAGUUGUUGUUGUAUUGUUCUUCUUGAGAUGGGGAGGUUUCCAAUGUCGAUUCUUAAUUGUAGAAUUUCUUCUUGAGCUGAUGUGUAGUAACGAAAUUUAAGUCCAAGUAGGAUAGAUUAACUUAGCAUGAGAUUCAACCGAGAAUUGUAG